GCGACCCCCGCCCUGCAGCGGAGCCGAGGGAGUCGUGACCCACGGCUGACCCCGCGCCGCCCGCCCUGGCUCUGGCGCCGGCGCAGGCGCAGCUGAGUCAAACUGGGGUCGCGGCUCGGUGGGGCGCAGCGCUUUCCUAGCGCGGGGGAGGAGGGCGCCUCUGGAACGCAGACCCCCAGGGGACGCGCCUGGGUCCAAGCGGAGUUCCGACUUCAGCCUCGGCGGGGGGCUCCACCCAGGUGGGCCCUGCGGGUGGCUCCCUCAGGGGAAGCCUAGGGCAGCCUGACCACGGCUGACCUCCGUGACCACCGGCGUUCCGGGCACCACGGGGCGAUCCUGGGGUGGGAGUGGGGUCCUCGCAGACCUGGUCAAAAGGUGGCUGGGAAAUGACUGAACACCCCAAGUCCUGGCACGGGUGCAGUCCAGCCUCUGCCCUUGUGGAGUUUAUAGUUUUUUUGUGGGUUUGUGGCUUUUUUUUUUGUUUUUGGUGUUUUAUACAGUGAGCUCGGAAGUUACCCGGAGACCUUGAAUUGUUUGUUUAGAGGCAGGGUCUCGCUCUGUGGCCCAGGCUGGAGUGCGGCGGCGCGAUCAGAGCUCACUCCAGCCUCAACCUCUUGGGGUCAAGUGAUCCUCCUGCCUCAGCCUCCCAGACCACAGGUGCGUGCCACCGUGCCCGGCCUUGAGUUGGUUUUCAAAGGUAGUGAAGGUCUAAUUGGAAGGAAAAAAGUCAAUACACGCAUAAGACACAGGAUAAACAUUUCAGUGUUUGUUCCAGUGAAGAUGUGAAAACAGCCCAAGCCUCUGGUGGAAGAUUUGAGAAAUAAACCACGGUUGAGACAGGGGAUGGGUUCCUGGCAGGUUAUUAGUAGUGAUGCUGAGGUCGCUGGGGCCCAGCUGAUGAUCGCGAUACAUUGUACAGCAGAAGGCUGGCUUCUAAGACAGAGGUAGGAGCCCACAUGGAAAGCAGAGAUAAAAUGAUGCAUGCCACAUCCUAAACCCUGGUGGGUCUGGGGUGAUUCAAUUACCACUUUGUUUCAGUAUCUUUUGUAGGCAUUUUAAUUUUCUUCUUUUUGCUUAUCCACAUUUUCUUUUCUUUUUUUUUUUUUUUUUUUUUUUUUUUUUUUGAGAUGGAGUCUCACUCUCUCGCCCAGGCUGGAGUGCAGUGGCGCGAUCUUGGCUCACUGCAAGCUCCGCCUCCCGGGUUCACGCCAUUGUCCUCCCUCAGCCUCCUGAGUAGCUGGGACUACAGGUGCCCGCCACCACGCCCGGCUAAUUUUUUUGUAUUUUUAGUAGAGACGGGGUUUCACAAUGUUAGCCAGGAUGGUCUUGAUCUCCUGACCUUCUGAUCUGCCCACCUCGGCCUCCCAAAGUGCUGGGAUUACAGGUGUGAGCUACCGAGCCUGGCCACUUAUCCACAUUUUCUAAUUUUUAUAAAAUAAUUUUGUGGUUUUCUAUUUUUAAAUUUCUUUUUAAGAAGUGGAAAGAACAGGACAACAGGGUUGUGGAGAAGCAGUACUGACUGACGGAGUCUAUUGGGACUGGAGCCCCCUGUUGGGGGUGGAGAACAGACUGCAGCUGUCUGAGAUACAGAACAGAAUAGAGCGAUAGUCCUCCCUUUACCUCCUGCCAUGUGGACUAAAGAUUGCUCGCUACCCAUUAAGCACUAACGAAUGUAAAACAAUGGGGCCUAAAAUGUCGAAAUAUCUACACUGUUAGAUUUAAAUGAAUUCAACACAUUUUUAAUGUAUUUUUAUUUUUUUAGGCACGUGACCUUGCUGUGUUGCACAGGCUGGCCUCUCUUAAUUGUCAGACUCGAAAGUCUACCUUCUUUUUUAUUUAUUUUAUUAUUUUUUUGAGAUGGAGUCUGGCUCUGUCACCCAGGCUGGAGUGCAGUGGCGCAAUCUUGGCUCACUGCAACCUCUGCCUCCCAGGUUUAAGUGAUUCUCCUGCCUCAGCCUCCUGAGUAGCUGGGAUUACAGGCACGUAGCACCACGCCCGGCUAAUUUUUGUAUUUUUAGUAGAGACAGGGUUUCACCUUGUUGGCCAGGCUGGUUUAGAACUCCUGACCUCAAGUGAUCCACCCACCUCGGCUUCUCAAAGUGGUGGGAUUACAGGCAUGAGCCACUGCGCCUGGCCUCUACCUUCUUUUUUAAAACAAUAUGGAGCUUCAUGAAUUUGUGUGUCAUCCUUGCACGGGGCCCAUGCUCACCUCUGUGUCAUUCCACUUUCAGUACAUGUGCUGCCAAAGUGAGCACAAAAGUCCACAUCCUUGGAUAGUUCAAGUGCAGUGGUGUUUACAACUAACUGAUCACAACCACGUAUGGAUUUCUUUCUCUACUCCCACUGCUUCACUUGACUAGCCAAAAAAGUCUACAUUCUUAACUUCAGCACUUCAGUGUUUAAAUUGCAAGUGUUCUAAAUGAGGACAAACCUCCCCCUAACUUUUUUUUUUUGAGAUGGAGUUUUCGCUCUUGUUGCCCAGGCUGAAGUGCAAUGGCACGAUCUGGGCUCACUGCAACCUCUGCCUCCUGGGUUCACGUGAUUCUCCUGCCUCAGCCUCCCGAGUAUCUGGGAUUACAGGCAUGCACCACCAUGCCCAGCUAAUUUUGUAUUUUUAGUAGAGACAGGGUUUUACUAUGUUUGUUAGGCUGGUCUCAAACUCCCGAACUCACGUGAUCUGCCUGCCUUGGCCUCCCAAAGUGCUGGGAUUAUAGGUGUGAGCCACUGUGCCCGGCCGAGAAUGAACCCCCUUUUUUAAAAAAUUUAUUUAUUUAUUUAUUUAUUUGGGACAGAGUUGUGCUCUGUUGCCUUGGCUGGAGUGCA
Molecule: long non-coding RNA, 2823 nt
Filed under: Homo sapiens (human)
Lineage: Eukaryota; Metazoa; Chordata; Mammalia; Primates; Hominidae
Description: HSALNT0197937
Rfam family: Y RNA (bases 2272-2366)
Source: RNAcentral